CCGGUAAACGGCGGCCGUAACUAUAACGGUCCUAAGGUAGCGAAAUUCCUUGUCGGGUAAGUUCCGACCUGCACGAAUGGCGUAAUGAUGGCCAGGCUGUCUCCACCCGAGACUCAGUGAAAUUGAACUCGCUGUGAAGAUGCAGUGUACCCGCGGCAAGACGGAAAGACCCCGUGAACCUUUACUAUAGCUUGACACUGAACAUUGAGCCUUGAUGUGUAGGAUAGGUGGGAGGCUUUGAAGUGUGGACGCCAGUCUGCAUGGAGCCGACCUUGAAAUACCACCCUUUAAUGUUUGAUGUUCUAACGUUGGCCCCUGAUCGGGGUUGCGGACAGUGUCUGGUGGGUAGUUUGACUGGGGCGGUCUCCUCCUAAAGAGUAACGGAGGAGCACGAAGGUUGGCUAAUCCUGGUCGGACAUCAGGAGGUUAGUGCAAUGGCAUAAGCCAGCUUGACUGCGAGCGUGACGGCGCGAGCAGGUGCGAAAGCAGGUCAUAGUGAUCCGGUGGUUCUGAAUGGAAGGGCCAUCGCUCAACGGAUAAAAGGUACUCCGGGGAUAACAGGCUGAUACCGCCCAAGAGUUCAUAUCGACGGCGGUGUUUGGCACCUCGAUGUCGGCUCAUCACAUCCUGGGGCUGAAGUAGGUCCCAAGGGUAUGGCUGUUCGCCAUUUAAAGUGGUACGCGAGCUGGGUUUAGAACGUCGUGAGACAGUUCGGUCCCUAUCUGCCGUGGGCGCUGGAGAACUGAGGGGGGCUGCUCCUAGUACGAGAGGACCGGAGUGGACGCAUCACUGGUGUUCGGGUUGUCAUGCCAAUGGCACUGCCCGGUAGCUAAAUGCGGAAGAGAUAAGUGCUGAAAGCAUCUAAGCACGAAACUUGCCCCGAGAUGAGUUCUCCCUGACUCCUUGAGAGUCCUGAAGGAACGUUGAAGACGACGACGUUGAUAGGCCGGGUGUGUAAGCGCAGCGAUGCGUUGAGCUAACCGGUACUAAUGAACCGUGAGG
RNAcentral lists this ribosomal RNA (1002 nucleotides) under Escherichia coli. RNAcentral's name for it is "partial 23S ribosomal RNA". It matches the Rfam family "Bacterial large subunit ribosomal RNA", at positions 1920 to 2916 of the family's 2925-position model. The record is from RNAcentral. Lineage: Bacteria; Pseudomonadati; Pseudomonadota; Gammaproteobacteria; Enterobacterales; Enterobacteriaceae.